RNAcentral lists this ribosomal RNA (783 nucleotides) under uncultured bacterium. RNAcentral describes it as "bacterial SSU rRNA". It matches the Rfam family "Bacterial small subunit ribosomal RNA", at positions 1 to 763 of the family's 1533-position model. The record is from RNAcentral.
AGAAGUCGUAACAAGGUAACCAGAGUUUGAUCCUGGCUCAGAUUGAACGCUGGCGGAAUGCUUUACACAUGCAAGUCGAACGGCAGCACGGGAGCUUGCACCUGGUGGCGAGUGGCGAACGGGUGAGUAAUGCGUCGGAACGUACCGAGUAAUGGGGGAUAACGCAGCGAAAGUUGUGCUAAUACCGCGUACGCCCUGAGGGGGAAAGUGGGGGACCGCAAGGCCUCACGUUAUUCGAGCGGCCGACGUCUGAUUAGCUAGUUGGUGGGGUAAAGGCCUACCAAGGCGACGAUCAGUAGCGGGUCUGAGAGGAUGAUCCGCCACACUGGGACUGAGACACGGCCCAGACUCCUACGGGAGGCAGCAGUGGGGAAUUUUGGACAAUGGGCGCAAGCCUGAUCCAGCCAUUCCGCGUGAGUGAAGAAGGCCUUCGGGUUGUAAAGCUCUUUCGGCAGGAACGAAACGGCGGGCUCUAACAUAGCCUGUUACUGACGGUACCUGCAGAAGAAGCACCGGCUAACUACGUGCCAGCAGCCGCGGUAAUACGUAGGGUGCGAGCGUUAAUCGGAAUUACUGGGCGUAAAGCGUGCGCAGGCGGAUUGUUAAGCAAGACGUGAAAUCCCCGGGCUUAACCUGGGAAUGGCGUUUUGAACUGGCAGUCUAGAGUGCGUCAGAGGGGGGUGGAAUUCCACGUGUAGCAGUGAAAUGCGUAGAGAUGUGGAGGAACACCGAUGGCGAAGGCAGCCCCCUGGGAUGACACUGACGCUCAUGUACGAAAGCGUG